UGAUCUUGGCAAAGCCCCUGGAAGUUUUUCCUUAGUGUUCUUGCCUGGAUGUGGGUGGAACGGAUCCCUCUAGUUUUUACCUGUCACGUGACCCGGGCCGGGACCAACGGAACAGUGCCUACCUCUAUCCCCCGCCAUUGGUUCCCAUCCAGUCAGAAGCGGAGCAGCUCAACUCGCUGGCAUGGCGUAAACAACUGUUGUUCCCAGGGAGCAGAUCUGAUUGUUUUCCUCUAGUGCCCAGCCUUGUUCAUGUCUGUAAGUUAAAAGUUUUGGAAGUUGAACAGCCCCAUGGAUCGGUUAGUGACAAGGAAACCAUCUCCGAGAGCGAACGGCACAGGCCCAAGCCAGCAACAUCUGGGGGUUGUUGGCGCGGAAGGUGCAAGCCCAGCUUUUCCUCACACUGCAGCUGGGGCUCCUUCUCCUCUGCUUUGCGGGUCCUCCUGGGGGAAAGAAAAGUCCAGAAGAACUCUAAGUUCCCAGAGUGGGUCAGAGGCCAAGAGAGUUCUGUUCCAAUUUUCAUUCUGCCUCUUACCAGCUUUAGCCUUUUGUGAGUCACAGAUUUCCCAGGAUCUCAUUUGUGCAACUAGAAGAUCGAAUUAAAACAGUAACAGGAAUGUGGCAAGGUUCUGGAUUUUCCUCUUCGAUUCUUCCAGCCAGCGUCUAUUGAACUGCUCCUGGGCGCCAGGUGCUAGGGUCCUCUGGCAUUAGGCUGUGAACAAGAGGCUUUCGCUGUCCCUACAAAAUUACACUCCAGCAGAUGUGAUUGAUACAGAUGAGCACAAGCACUGGUGAAGCAUGUAGAAAAACCUUUAAUUCAGACUAGGAGGUAAAGGAGGGCUUCUCAGAGGGGGUGACACUCACACAGAGCAAGGCGACUGCUACCUGCACGGAUCUUCCAAGACGUGUGCUCAGCACCUGGCACAUGGGCUCUUUCCCUUCCUGAGACUGGAAGUGGAGGACUCUGAAACCCAAGGAGAUGGGAUAGCCACGGGACAAGGGAUCCUGAGCCCCCAGAUCAUCAUAAGGAGAAAAGCCAUCUACGGACUAGAAACACCCUCCUUGGAUUGUCACAUGAAUGAGAAAUAAAUCUUACUGUGCCAUGAUG
This is a long non-coding RNA of Suricata suricatta (meerkat), 1105 nucleotides long. RefSeq lists it as uncharacterized. The record is from RefSeq and is a predicted model, not a curated record. The transcript is spliced from 4 exons. NCBI's taxonomy places the organism in Eukaryota, Metazoa, Chordata, Mammalia, Carnivora, Herpestidae.